ACAUGCAGUCGAGCGAAUCUGAGGGAGCUUGCUCCCAAAGAUUAGCGGCGGACGGGUGAGUAACACGUGGGCAACCUGCCUGUAAGACUGGGAUAACUUCGGGAAACCGGAGCUAAUACCGGAUAAUCCUUUUCUACUCAUGUAGAAAAGCUGAAAGAUGGCUUCGGCUAUCACUUACAGAUGGGCCCGCGGCGCAUUAGCUAGUUGGUGAGGUAACGGCUCACCAAGGCGACGAUGCGUAGCCGACCUGAGAGGGUGAUCGGCCACACUGGGACUGAGACACGGCCCAGACUCCUACGGGAGGCAGCAGUAGGGAAUCUUCCGCAAUGGACGAAAGUCUGACGGAGCAACGCCGCGUGAGUGAUGAAGGUUUUCGGAUCGUAAAACUCUGUUGUUAGGGAAGAACAAGUACCGUUCGAAUAGGGCGGUACCUUGACGGUACCUAACCAGAAAGCCACGGCUAACUACGUGCCAGCAGCCGCGGUAAUACGUAGGUGGCAAGCGUUGUCCGGAAUUAUUGGGCGUAAAGCGCGCGCAGGUGGUUUCUUAAGUCUGAUGUGAAAGCCCCCGGCUCAACCGGGGAGGGUCAUUGGAAACUGGGAGACUUGAGUGCAGAAGAGGAAAGUGGAAUUCCAAGUGUAGCGGUGAAAUGCGUAGAGAUUUGGAGGAACACCAGUGGCGAAAGCGACUUUCUGGUCUGUAACUGACACUGAGGCGCGAAAGCGUGGGGAGCGAACAGGAUUAGAUACCCUGGUAGUCCACGCCGUAAACGAUGAGUGCUAAGUGUUAGAGGGUUUCCGCCCUUUAGUGCUGCAGCAAACGCAUUAAGCACUCCGCCUGGGGAGUACGGCCGCAAGGCUGAAACUCAAAGGAAUUGACGGGGGCCCGCACAAGCGGUGGAGCAUGUGGUUUAAUUCGAAGCAACGCGAAGAACCUUACCAGGUCUUGACAUCCUCUGACAAUCCUAGAGAUAGGACGUUCCCCUUCGGGGGACAGAGUGACAGGUGGUGCAUGGUUGUCGUCAGCUCGUGUCGUGAGAUGUUGGGUUAAGUCCCGCAACGAGCGCAACCCUUGAUCUUAGUUGCCAGCAUUCAGUUGGGCACUCUAAGGUGACUGCCGGUGACAAACCGGAGGAAGGUGGGGAUGACGUCAAAUCAUCAUGCCCCUUAUGACCUGGGCUACACACGUGCUACAAUGGAUGGUACAAAGGGCUGCAAGACCGCGAGGUUUAGCCAAUCCCAUAAAACCAUUCUCAGUUCGGAUUGCAGGCUGCAACUCGCCUGCAUGAAGCCGGAAUCGCUAGUAAUCGCGGAUCAGCAUGCCGCGGUGAAUACGUUCCCGGGCCUUGUACACACCGCCCGUCACACCACGAGAGUUUGUAACACCCGAAGUCGGUGGGGUAACCGCAAGGAGCCAGCCG
This 1420-nucleotide ribosomal RNA is filed under the name Bacillus sp. (in: firmicutes). RNAcentral's name for it is "bacterial SSU rRNA". It matches the Rfam family "Bacterial small subunit ribosomal RNA". Lineage: Bacteria; Bacillati; Bacillota; Bacilli; Caryophanales; Bacillaceae. RNAcentral also lists the same sequence under 1 other name. The record is from RNAcentral.